AUGGAUUCUGCAGAAGCAGUACCUGCUCUGGUUGAGGAGUACUUGAAGAAAGAAGCUCAAGAGUUUAAGGCUGCUUUCACCUCUGGGAUCACUGAUGUGCGUCAUUUUCCUAGCUGUAGCCGCGAGCAAGUUGAUGAGAGCAUCAUGGACUUUGCAGAAGCAGUACCGGCUCCGGUUGAGACGGAGUACUUGAGGAAAGCAGCACAAGAGAUCAAGGUCAAUUUCGACAAGAGACAAGAGAAGAUGCAUAGGUUCCCUGCAAGCCUACGCGGUCUCGGCAGCCAGUACAUUGUGCCAAAGCUUGUGGCCAUUGGCCCUUACCACCAUGGCUCACCCCGCCUAAGGCACAUGGAGAAGGUGAAGCACGUGGCUGCUCACCACUUCGUCAACGAUUCAGGACGCUCGCUUGAGGAUAUCUAUGGGGAUGUCGUCAAGGUUGCUGACAAGGUCCGCUGCCUCUAUGAUGACGAUGUGCUGUGCUGGCAAGUAUAA
Molecule: ribosomal RNA, 492 nt
Filed under: Triticum aestivum (bread wheat)
Lineage: Eukaryota; Viridiplantae; Streptophyta; Magnoliopsida; Poales; Poaceae
Description: partial small subunit ribosomal RNA
Source: RNAcentral